GUGAUGGAGUCAGUCUGGAUGCAGACGCAAAGGAAGAAUUAAUGGACAUACAGAAGAGUUAAAAAAAAUCUGCAGUAGUCAAAGUGGAAACAUCGCAUUGUCCUCUUGUUGGACUAUAAAUCACUUCCUAGGACCAUGAGGCCUUGAAGACCAAAAUAACCCAUUGCCUUGGAAGAUGAUCGUGGCAACUUACCAGGGGUUCGUCUAGUGCCUGUACAAUAGGCUUCCACCAGUGCGGCUCCAGGCCACAUUCCUCCAGGAUCCACGCUCACGAGUACCCACGACUCUCGUGCCUCCAGCACGUUCCUUUCCUGAAGCUCUUUAAGAGAAACCACUUCUGCUAAGAGUUUGGGGAAAAGAAGACAAAUGGCCCUUAAUGCCAAUGCACAGGUGCACAUGUUCUGUUUGUCGCUGGCCACCAAGUUAUUUAUGUUUUUAGAAGUAAAGGUUCUUGGGGACAGCCCUGUGGCACAGCAGGUUAAUGCCCUGACCUGAAGCGCUGGCAUCCCAUAUGGAUGCCGGUUUGAGACCCGGCUGCUCCACUUCCCAUCCAGCUCUCUGCUAUGGCCUGGGAAAGCAGUGGAAGAUGGCCCAAGUCCUUGGGCCCCUGCAUCUGCGUGAGAGACCAGGAAGAAGCUCCUGGCUCCUGGCAGCUCCAGCCGUUGCGCCAUUUGGGAACUGAACCAUCGGAUGGAAGACCUCUCUCUCUCUCUCUCUGCCUCGCCUCUGUCUGUGUAACUCUGACU
Molecule: non-coding RNA, 746 nt
Organism: Oryctolagus cuniculus (rabbit)
Lineage: Eukaryota; Metazoa; Chordata; Mammalia; Lagomorpha; Leporidae
Source: RefSeq, a predicted model, not a curated record